Molecule: ribosomal RNA, 1173 nt
Filed under: Escherichia coli
Lineage: Bacteria; Pseudomonadati; Pseudomonadota; Gammaproteobacteria; Enterobacterales; Enterobacteriaceae
Description: partial 23S ribosomal RNA
Rfam family: Bacterial large subunit ribosomal RNA
Source: RNAcentral
GACGUGCUAAUCUGCGAUAAGCGUCGGUAAGGUGAUAUGAACCGUUAUAACCGGCGAUUUCCGAAUGGGGAAACCCAGUGUGUUUCGACACACUAUCAUUAACUGAAUCCAUAGGUUAAUGAGGCGAACCGGGGGAACUGAAACAUCUAAGUACCCCGAGGAAAAGAAAUCAACCGAGAUUCCCCCAGUAGCGGCGAGCGAACGGGGAGCAGCCCAGAGCCUGAAUCAGUGUGUGUGUUAGUGGAAGCGUCUGGAAAGGCGCGCGAUACAGGGUGACAGCCCCGUACACAAAAAUGCACAUGCUGUGAGCUCGAUGAGUAGGGCGGGACACGUGGUAUCCUGUCUGAAUAUGGGGGGACCAUCCUCCAAGGCUAAAUACUCCUGACUGACCGAUAGUGAACCAGUACCGUGAGGGAAAGGCGAAAAGAACCCCGGCGAGGGGAGUGAAAAAGAACCUGAAACCGUGUACGUACAAGCAGUGGGAGCACGCUUAGGCGUGUGACUGCGUACCUUUUGUAUAAUGGGUCAGCGACUUAUAUUCUGUAGCAAGGUUAACCGAAUAGGGGAGCCGAAGGGAAACCGAGUCUUAACUGGGCGUUAAGUUGCAGGGUAUAGACCCGAAACCCGGUGAUCUAGCCAUGGGCAGGUUGAAGGUUGGGUAACACUAACUGGAGGACCGAACCGACUAAUGUUGAAAAAUUAGCGGAUGACUUGUGGCUGGGGGUGAAAGGCCAAUCAAACCGGGAGAUAGCUGGUUCUCCCCGAAAGCUAUUUAGGUAGCGCCUCGUGAAUUCAUCUCCGGGGGUAGAGCACUGUUUCGGCAAGGGGGUCAUCCCGACUUACCAACCCGAUGCAAACUGCGAAUACCGGAGAAUGUUAUCACGGGAGACACACGGCGGGUGCUAACGUCCGUCGUGAAGAGGGAAACAACCCAGACCGCCAGCUAAGGUCCCAAAGUCAUGGUUAAGUGGGAAACGAUGUGGGAAGGCCCAGACAGCCAGGAUGUUGGCUUAGAAGCAGCCAUCAUUUAAAGAAAGCGUAAUAGCUCACUGGUCGAGUCGGCCUGCGCGGAAGAUGUAACGGGGCUAAACCAUGCACCGAAGCUGCGGCAGCGACACUAUGUGUUGUUGGGUAGGGGAGCGUUCUGUAAGCCUGUGAAGGUGUACUGUGAGG